CACAUGUGUUUGUCAUCAAAGCUGCCUAUAAAACACAUGCAAAGUCAAAGUGAACUGAAUGGAGAUGAACACUAUGGGGACUCUUGGACAGUAAGAUAAACAUGCACUUGUGUGUGAAAUUGAAGUUGUGUUUUAAAAAAUGGAAGUGUGACAAAAUAAACACAAGACCAAUGCAAAAAUUACAUUAUGAAUUUUUAUUUAAGAACAGAAGUUGUUGUAGUGUUUUAGCACUUAACCGGUUUCUUUUUUUGCACAGAACUUCUCCAGCUUUGGAAAAAACUCUUUCACAUGGCACAGAUGUAGCUGGUAUUGAGAGGUAUUUUUUGGCAAGCUGAAAGAGAUGAGGGAAGAAAGUUUGAUGUUUUGACCAAAACUCCAGUGGAUCACUUGUUCUGUUCAUGUAUGGUGUAUUUAAAUAUCGCUGUACUUCAACUGUUGCAUCAGCAGUGACACUAUGGACCUUUUGUGUUUCCUGUAUCUUAUUGUCCAAGAGUUCCCAUAGGUUCUCUCUGUCUUCCUGUCCUUCUGCUGAAGUGGCUGCAGCUGAAGUUGAUGGCUGAGGUGACCCAGGUGGUGGAGCCGAUGAUGUUUCGCGCAUCACUGCACUGCAUUCAGCAAUGCAGUCCUUGACCGCAGCGUCAGCAUUGGCUGCACAGCCAAACACAACAGUCUUGAAUCUGGGAUCCAAAAGUGUAGCCUUAGCCAAGGUCCUCAAGGAUUCCACUGUUCCAAAACGUUUCUUAAGAGAGCUCAACUGUGGCAUGGUUAAAGGCUGAAAGGGCUUGAAGACACUGUGCGAUUGCUUCAAACUGUCCACUGUUCAAGGGUGUCACAUUGGUGUUUAAGGAUGUUAGAGCAGCACCAACUGCUUCACGUUCUUCAUAUAUUCUUUGGAGCAUGAAAAAUGUGCUGUUCCACCUUGUUUCCACCUCUUGAAUCAGUUUCUUCUUCGGUCUGCCCAUCUGCUGCUGAAUUGCUGACAGUUUCUCAGUGGCAUUUGUGCUGCAUCUAAAGAAGGACUCCAGCAAAAUGGACUUUGCUUCUUUGAUGUGCUCUGCUGUGUGGGUUUCAGGAAACUUCAAAACUCCCAGCACAACACUACACAACUUCUCUUCAUUGAUAUAAUGGCAUGUUACUGCAAGCAACCAUGUUCUUCAGCCCAUGCCUUGAUGGAAGCACAUAUGUUGGAUCCAGUUUCUGCACAAAAGCCCUGAAGCCCUCAUCCUCCACCAUGGAAAAUGGCUGGGAAUCCUUCACAAUCAUGUCCACCAGUGCCUCAUCAAUGUCCCUUUGCC
Non-coding RNA from Paramisgurnus dabryanus, 1295 nucleotides. The record is from RefSeq and is a predicted model, not a curated record. NCBI's taxonomy places the organism in Eukaryota, Metazoa, Chordata, Actinopteri, Cypriniformes, Cobitidae.